GGGUCAGGUAAAUUUACCAAAUGUCCGGUAAAUUAACAUGCGGAUGUCAAAUGUCUGCAGCCUAGCAGAAACCCUGGUCUUGACCCACCGUGUGUGUUCCCUGGCCCAGAAGGCAGCAGGAAUGAGGAGCAGAAACAGAGCUUUGGAGGCCACCACCAGGACCCAGAUCAGACCACAGUCAGCAGACACACCACAGUCAGGACAGUCACAAGAGGUGAUGGUGGGCGAGACCUCUGUACAGUAGAGAGGUGAUGGUGGGGGAGUCCUCUGUACAGUAGAGAGGUGAUGGUGUGGGUGUCCUCUGUACAGUAGAGAGGUGAUGGUGUGGGAGUCCUCUGUACAGUAGAGAGGUGAUGGUGUUGGAGUCCUCUGUAAAGUAGAGAGGUGAUGGUGUGGGAGUCAUCUGUACAGUAGAGAGGUGAUGGUGGGGGAGUCCUCUGUACAGUAGAGAGGUGAUGGUGUGGGAGUCCUCUGUACAGUAGAGAGGUGAUGGUGGGGGAGUCCUCUGUACAGUAGAGAGGUGAUGGUGGGGGGAGUCCUCUGUACAGUAGAGAGGUGAUGGUGUGGGAGUCCUCUGUACAGUAGAGAGGUGAUGGUGUUGGAGUCCUCUGUACAGUAAAGAGGUGAUGGUGUUGGAGUCCUCUGUACAGUAGUGAGGUGAUGGUGUUGGAGUCCUCUGUACAGUAGAGAGGUGAUGGUGUGGGAGUCCUCUGUACAGUAGAGAGGUGAUGGUGGGGGAGUCCUCUGUACAGUAGAGAGGUGAUGGUGUGGGAGUCCUCUGUACAGUAGAGAGGUGAUGGUGGGGGAGUCCUCUGUACAGUAGAGAGGUGAUGGUGUGGGAGUCCUCUGUACAGUAGAGAGGUGAUGGUGUGGGAGUCCUCUGUACAGCAGAGAGGUGAUGGUGGGGGAGUCCUCUGUACAGUAGAGAGGUGAUGUUGGGGGAGUCCUCUGUACAGUAGAGAGGUGAUGGUGUGGGAGUCCUCUGUACAGUAGAGAGGUGAUGGUGUGGGAGUCCUCUGUACAGUAGAGAGGUGAUAGUGUUGGAGUCCUCUGUACAGUAAAGAGGUGAUGGAGUUGGAGUCCUCUGUACAGUAGAGAGGUGAUGGUGUUGGAGUCCUCUGUACAGCAGAGAGGUGAUGUGUGGGAGUCCUCUGUACAGUAGAGAGGUGAUGGUGGGGGAGUCCUCUGUACAGCAGAGAGGUGAUGGUGGGGGAGUCCUCUGUACAGUAGAGAGGUGAUGGUGUGGGAGUCCUCUGUACAGUAGGGAGGUGAUGGUGGGGGAGUCCUCUGUACAGUAGAGAGGUGAUGGUGGGGGAGUCCUCUGUACAGUAGAG
This 1334-nucleotide long non-coding RNA is filed under the name Salmo salar (Atlantic salmon). RNAcentral describes it as "lncRNA (ENSSSAG00000084053.1)". The record is from RNAcentral. Lineage: Eukaryota; Metazoa; Chordata; Actinopteri; Salmoniformes; Salmonidae.